GACCCGGUAGCUCAGGUGGUAGAGCACCUGCCUUUUAAGCAGGGAGUCGUUGGUUCGAGUCCAACCCGGGUCACCA
This 76-nucleotide transfer RNA is filed under the name Candidatus Methylomirabilota bacterium. Its description in RNAcentral is "candidate division NC10 bacterium (hot springs metagenome) tRNA-Lys". It matches the Rfam family "tRNA". Rfam says of the family: Transfer RNA (tRNA) molecules are approximately 80 nucleotides in length. Their secondary structure includes four short double-helical elements and three loops (D, anti-codon, and T loops). The record is from RNAcentral. Lineage: Bacteria; Methylomirabilota (SeqCode).